CAAAAAUAAACUUUUAUUGCCAGACCAAAAAUAAACUGAUUAUGUCAGUUCAAUUUCAUCAUAUUUGCAUUAAAAUCCCCUUCACAUUAUGUUCCAACUUCUAAGCAGGUACUUAUACCUAAUAGACAUUGUAAACAGAUGCCAUAUCAUCUUUAUGUCAACAUGGUGGUAAAAAAAAAGAAUGCAACAGAAUCUUAAUGGUCCAGUAAACACCAG
RNAcentral lists this unclassified non-coding RNA (216 nucleotides) under Hevea brasiliensis (rubber tree). Lineage: Eukaryota; Viridiplantae; Streptophyta; Magnoliopsida; Malpighiales; Euphorbiaceae. The record is from RNAcentral.